This 400-nucleotide small RNA is filed under the name Pongo abelii (Sumatran orangutan). Its description in RNAcentral is "processed transcript". Lineage: Eukaryota; Metazoa; Chordata; Mammalia; Primates; Hominidae. The record is from RNAcentral.
AAACUGGGCUUGAGUAACACCCUAGAUAAACAUCAGGAACCCCACUGAGGCUGAAGUACUGAAACUGUAGCCCAUGUGAAAAAGAGGUGCAAGUGCACAAAGAUUCAUGCAGAACCUGCUGGAACAGAGGGUGGUGGCGGCAGGUUAGUCCACACUUACACACCAGCAGGUAUGCUGGGGAAGGGCCCCCCAGGUGGAGUGCCUGACAUAGGGCUCGCUCCAGAGGCGUCUGACUCAGAAGCUCCUGAGAGAGGUGUCUACUUGAGGUGCGGAGGAGUACUAUGGUUAAUGAAUACAAGGUGUUGUUUCAGGAUAAAUAGGUGUGUAGAUGAGUUUAUUCUCUUCUGUGUCUUCAAACUCCAGGUAGUACUUGUCCAUGAAAUUUCUCUGUAAUAACUGG